UCGAGAAUCUUCGGCAAUGAGCGCAAGCUUGACCGAGCGACGCCGCGUGCGGGAUGAAGGCCUUCGGGUUGUAAACCGCUUUGGUCCGAAAGAAAGGGUAAAACUUGAUCGAUCGGAGAAACAAGGACGGGCUAAGUUCGUGCCAGCAGCCGCGGUAAGACGAACCGUCCAAACGUUAUUCGGAAUCACUGGGCUUAAAGGGCGCGUAGGCGGCCGAGCGGGUCACGGGUGAAAUCCUCCAGCUUAACUGGAGAACUGCCCUUGAUACCACUGCGGCUCGAGGAAGGAAGGGGCAAUCGGAACUGUCGGUGGAGCGGUGAAAUGCGUUGAUAUCGACAGGAACGCCGGUGGCGAAAGCGGAUUGCUGGUCCUUUUCUGACGCUGAGGCGCGAAAGCCAGGGGAGCAAACGGGAUUAGAUACCCCCGUAGUCC
Molecule: ribosomal RNA, 432 nt
Filed under: uncultured bacterium
Lineage: Bacteria
Description: bacterial SSU rRNA
Rfam family: Bacterial small subunit ribosomal RNA
Source: RNAcentral